RNAcentral lists this RNase P RNA (333 nucleotides) under chicken gut metagenome. RNAcentral's name for it is "Bacterial RNase P class A". It matches the Rfam family "Bacterial RNase P class A". Rfam says of the family: Ribonuclease P (RNase P) is a ubiquitous endoribonuclease, found in archaea, bacteria and eukarya as well as chloroplasts and mitochondria. Its best characterised activity is the generation of mature 5'-ends of tRNAs by cleaving the 5'-leader elements of precursor-tRNAs. Cellular RNase Ps are ribonucleoproteins. The record is from RNAcentral.
GUCAGAUAAAUGGUCGCGCCUGAUUUAUGCAGGUGAGGAAAGUCCGGGCUUCACAGGGCAGGAUGCCGGAUAACGUCCGGUGGAGGUGACUCCAAGGAAAGUGCAACAGAAAUAAACCGCCAUAUCACGUGGUAAGGAUGGAAAGGCGAGGUAAGAGCUCACCGCCUGGCUGGUAACAGACAGGGCACAUGUAAACCCCAUUCGAAGCAAGACCAAGACGAAGACGCAAAGGCUUGCCCGGUCAGUCUUCAGGUAGGUCGCUUGAGCUUGCUGGCGACAGUAAGUCGAGAUAGAUGAUCAUUCAAGACAUAACCCGGCUUAUCGUCUGGCUCG